AGUGAACGCUGGCGGUAGGCCUAACACAUGCAAGUCGAACGGCAGCACAGUAAGAGCUUGCUCUUACGGGUGGCGAGUGGCGGACGGGUGAGGAAUACAUCGGAAUCUACUUUUUCGUGGGGGAUAACGUAGGGAAACUUACGCUAAUACCGCAUACGACCUACGGGUGAAAGCAGGGGAUCUUCGGGCCUUGCGCGAUUGAAUGAGCCGAUGUCGGAUUAGCUAGUUGGCGGGGUAAAGGCCCACCAAGGCGACGAUCCGUAGCUGGUCUGAGAGGAUGAUCAGCCACACUGGAACUGAGACACGGUCCAGACUCCUACGGGAGGCAGCAGUGGGGAAUAUUGGACAAUGGGCGCAAGCCUGAUCCAGCCAUACCGCGUGGGUGAAGAAGGCCUUCGGGUUGUAAAGCCCUUUUGUUGGGAAAGAAAAGCAGCAGGUUAAUACCCCGCUGUUCUGACGGUACCCAAAGAAUAAGCACCAGCUAACUUCGUG
RNAcentral lists this ribosomal RNA (492 nucleotides) under uncultured bacterium. RNAcentral's name for it is "partial 16S ribosomal RNA". It matches the Rfam family "Bacterial small subunit ribosomal RNA", at positions 29 to 507 of the family's 1533-position model. The record is from RNAcentral.